CGGAGGGUGCAAGCGUUAUCCGGAUUCACUGGGUUUAAAGGGUGUGUAGGCGGGCAGUUAAGUCAGUGGUGAAAUCUCCGGGCUCAACCCGGAAACUGCCAUUGAUACUAAUUGUCUUGAAUAUCGUUGAGGCAGGCGGAAUAUGUCAUGUAGCGGUGAAAUGCAUAGAUAUGACAUAGAACACCAAUUGCGAAGGCAGCUUGCUAAACGAUCAUUGACGCUAAGGCACGAAAGCGUGGGGAUCAAACAGGAUUAGAUACCCUGGUAGUCCACGCCCUAAACGAUGAUUACUCGACAUACGCGAUACACAGUGUGUGUCUGAGCGAAAGCAUUAAGUAAUCCACCUGGGAAGUACGUCCGCAAGGAUG
This 368-nucleotide ribosomal RNA is filed under the name uncultured organism. RNAcentral describes it as "bacterial SSU rRNA". It matches the Rfam family "Bacterial small subunit ribosomal RNA", at positions 526 to 896 of the family's 1533-position model. The record is from RNAcentral.